CCGUGAUAACGUAGCAUAAUCAUUCGCCACCUAAUUAGUGGAUAGUAUGAACGGUAAAACGAGUAUAACACUCUCUCAGAAGGAAGUUUUAUGAAAUUGGAAUGGUAGUCAAGAUACUACCUAAAACUGUAAGACGAAAAGACCCUAUAGAGCUUAACUAUACCUUUCUCACAAAGUUAAGUUCACUUAAGUUCAAGAAAGAUUGGUAGUUUAGUUGGGGCGACUGCUUUCUAGUAAAAACGAAAGCAAGCAACAUUAAUUAUCUAAUUUACUGUCUAAUCUAUGUGUUUAACAGUUAUAAAAAUAGGCAAUAGUGACCCGUUAGUAACAAAAAACACCACUAACGAACAAUAAAUAAAAGCUACCUUAGGGAUAACAGGAUAAUCUUGUUCUAGAGACCCUAUCGAAAACAAGGUUUGUCACCUCUAUGUUGAAUUAAGAUAUCCUAGAAGUGUAGAAGCUUCUGAGG
This 469-nucleotide ribosomal RNA is filed under the name Millepora alcicornis. RNAcentral describes it as "partial large subunit ribosomal RNA". It matches the Rfam family "Bacterial large subunit ribosomal RNA", at positions 1946 to 2570 of the family's 2925-position model. The record is from RNAcentral. Lineage: Eukaryota; Metazoa; Cnidaria; Hydrozoa; Anthoathecata; Milleporidae.